This 1065-nucleotide long non-coding RNA is filed under the name Canis lupus familiaris (dog). Its description in RNAcentral is "lncRNA (ENSCAFG00040000952.1)". The record is from RNAcentral. Lineage: Eukaryota; Metazoa; Chordata; Mammalia; Carnivora; Canidae.
CGUGGGCAGCGGCGACCGCGGCACUCGGUGCGCUCUACUGGGUCUCCUGUGUGUCAGCGGGGCUCUCCCCACCCGCCCUCACCCCACUCCCGAGCUCUAGGUGCCCCCGCAGCCCCUGCCCCCGGAGCCCCGGGCGUCCUCCCGCGCACCGCCUGCCCCCGGAGCCCCGGGCGUCCUCCCGCGCUCCCCCUGCCCCCGGAGCCCCGGGCGUCCUCCCGCGCUCCCCCUGCCCCCGGGGCCCAGGGCGUCCUCCCGCGCUCCCCCUGCCCCCGGGGCCCAGGGCGUCCUCCCGCGCUCCCCCUGCCCCCGGGGCCCAGGGCGUCCUCUCGCGCUCCCCCUGCCCCCGGGGCCCAGGGCGUCCUCCCGCGCUCCCCUGCCCCCGGGGCCCCGGGCGUCCUCCCGCGCACCGCCUGCCCCGGGGCCCAGGGCGUCCUCCCGCGCUCCCCCUGCCCCCGGGGCCCAGGGCGUCCUCUCGCGCUCCCCCUGCCCCCGGGGCCCAGGGCGUCCUCCCGCGCUCCCCCUGCCCCCGGGGCCCAGGGCGUCCUCCCGCGCUCCCCCUGCCCCCGGGGCCCAGGGCGUCCUCCCGCGCUCCCCCUGCCCCCGGGGCCCAGGGCGUCCUCCCGCGCUCCCCCUGCCCCGGGGCCCAGGGCGUCCUCCCGCGCUCCCCUGCCCCGGGGCCCAGGGCGUCCUCUCGCGCUCCCCCUGCCCCCGGGGCCCCGGGCGUCCUCCCGCGCUCCCCCUGCCCCCGGGGCCCCGGGCGUCCUCCCGCGCUCCGCCUGCCCCCGGGGCCCAGGGCGUCCUCCCGCGCUCCGAGCUCUAGGUGCCCCCCGCAACCCCUGCCCCGGGGGGCCUCCCGAGCUCCCCUCCCCAGCCCUCCCCCGUGCACACUCCACAGUCCCCGCACUCGGCGCCAUUCAGAAGCCACGCCGUGCUUAUACUAAAAGAAUAAAGAUUUUUAUUAAGCAUUGUAAGUUGCAUUCGAUAGCCUCCGGAACAGCACGCCACGACCCACCUACAAUCAGUCAGACCCAACAGCAGUUCAUUCUUGCACAAUCCAUGAGUUAG